This 268-nucleotide ribosomal RNA is filed under the name uncultured prokaryote. RNAcentral describes it as "partial 16S ribosomal RNA". It matches the Rfam family "Bacterial small subunit ribosomal RNA", at positions 524 to 791 of the family's 1533-position model. The record is from RNAcentral.
UACGUAGGGGGCGAGCGUUGUCCGGAAUUACUGGGCGUAAAGGGUGCGCAGGCGGCCGAUUAAGUCAGAUGUGAAAUACCACGGCUCAACUGUGGGGGUGCAUUUGAAACUGGUUGGCUUGAGUGCAGGAGAGGAAAGUGGAAUUCCUAGUGUAGCGGUGAAAUGCGUAGAGAUUAGGAGGAACACCAGUGGCGAAGGCGACUUUCUGGACUGUAACUGACGCUGAGGCACGAAAGCGUGGGGAGCAAACAGGAUUAGAUACCCUGUA